GUAGGGAAUAUUGGACAAUGGGGGCAACCCUGAUCCAGCGACGCCGCGUGAGUGAUGAAGGCCUUCGGGUCGUAAAGCUCUGUUGCAGGGGAAGAACACAAUGACGGUACCCUGCUAGAAAGGAUCGGCUAACUUCGUGCCAGCAGCCGCGGUAAGACGAGGGAUCCUAGCGUUGUUCGGAAUUAUUGGGCGUAAAGCGGGUGCAGGUGGCUUGGUAAGUCAGAUGUGAAAGCCUGGGGCUUAACCCCAGAAGUGCAUUUGAUACUGCUGAGCUUGAGUGCUGGAGAGGCUAUUAGAAUUCCUGGUGUAGUGGUGAAAUACGUAGAUAUCAGGAGGAAUACCGGAGGCGAAGGCGGAUAGCUGGCCAGACACUGACACUGAGAGACGAAAGCGAGGGGAGCAAAAGGGAUUAGAAACCCGAGUAGUCC
This 428-nucleotide ribosomal RNA is filed under the name uncultured bacterium. Its description in RNAcentral is "partial 16S ribosomal RNA". It matches the Rfam family "Bacterial small subunit ribosomal RNA", at positions 354 to 796 of the family's 1533-position model. The record is from RNAcentral.